RNAcentral lists this ribosomal RNA (253 nucleotides) under uncultured bacterium. Its description in RNAcentral is "partial 16S ribosomal RNA". It matches the Rfam family "Bacterial small subunit ribosomal RNA", at positions 524 to 776 of the family's 1533-position model. The record is from RNAcentral.
UACAGAGGUCUCAAGCGUUAUUCGGAUUCAUUGGGCGUAAAGGGUGCGUAGGUGGCGAUGUAAGUCUGGUGUGAAAUCUCGGGGCUUAACCCCGAAAUUGCAUUGGAUACUGCGUUGCUUGAGGAUUGUAGUGGAGAGUGGAAUUCACGGUGUAGCAGUGAAAUGCGUAGAUAUCGUGAGGAAGACCAGUUGCGAAGGCGACUCUCUGGGCAAUUCCUGACACUGAGGCACGAAGGCCAGGGGAGCAAACGGG